AGAGAGAGACAUGCGCGCAUAUCAAUAAGCGGAGGAAAAGAAACUAACAAGGAUUCCCUUAGUAACGGCGAGUGAAGCGGGAAGAGCUCAAAUUUGAAAUCUUCAAGGUUCUACCUUGACGAAUUGUAGUUUAUAGAAGUGUUUUCUGUUAGUGGAGUGGCAAAAGUUCUUUGGAAUAGGACAUCAUAGAGGGUGAGAAUCCCGUAUUUGGUCAUUCCUCCUAGCGUUGUGAUACACUUUCAACGAGUCGGAUUGUUUGGGAAUGCAGUCCAAAAUGGGUGGUAAAUUUCAUCUAAAGCUAAAUAUUGGCGAGAGACUGAUAGCGAACAAGUACCGUGAGGGAAAGAUGAAAAGAACUUUGAAAAGAGAGUUAAACAGUACGUGAAAUUGUCAAAAGGGAAGCGUUUGACACCAGUGUUGUUUUUCCGAAAAUCAAUUACGAAUGUUUUAUUUUUGAGGAGUUAUGACUUCAUCGGCUUGCUCCUUUCUUUAUGAAACUUUCUUAAUGCACUUUUCGGUUAACAAGUCAACAUCAAUUUCUUUUGUUGUAAAAGGGUAUGAGGAAGGUGGCUUUCUUUUCGGAGAAAGUGUUUAUAGCCUUGUGCCUCUGCAAUCGGAGAGAUUGAGGUCUGCAGCGUAGAUCCUUCGGGGUUAGAUACGUUUGUGCUAAGUUAUAGCUUUUCAUAGACAACUUGUUGACUAUGUUUAGUCUUGUAGCUUACUCGCUGACGCUAUUUUACCUACGCUUAGGAUGUUGAUAGUCACAGCGUGUAC
RNAcentral lists this ribosomal RNA (774 nucleotides) under uncultured Neocallimastigales. RNAcentral describes it as "partial large subunit ribosomal RNA". It matches the Rfam family "Eukaryotic large subunit ribosomal RNA", at positions 23 to 644 of the family's 3401-position model. Lineage: Eukaryota; Fungi; Neocallimastigomycota; Neocallimastigomycetes; Neocallimastigales. The record is from RNAcentral.